RNAcentral lists this ribosomal RNA (253 nucleotides) under uncultured bacterium. RNAcentral's name for it is "partial 16S ribosomal RNA". It matches the Rfam family "Bacterial small subunit ribosomal RNA", at positions 524 to 776 of the family's 1533-position model. The record is from RNAcentral.
UACGUAGGGUGCGAGCGUUAAUCGGAAUUACUGGGCGUAAAGCGUGCGCAAGCGGCUUUGCAAGACAGAUGUGAAAUCCCCGGGCUCAACCUGGGAACUGCAUUUGUGACUGCAAGGCUAGAGUACGGCAGAGGGGGAUGGAAUUCCGCGUGUAGCAGUGAAAUGCGUAGAUAUGCGGAGGAACACCAAUGGCGAAGGCAAUCCCCUGGGCCUGUACUGACGCUCAUGCACGAAAGCGUGGGGAGCAAACAGG